GAUGAACGCUGGCGGCGUGCCUAACACAUGCAAGUCGAGCGGAGAAUUGUUGCUUGCAACAAUUCUUAGCGGCGGACGGGUGAGUAACACGUGGGUAACCUGCCCUAAACAAAGGGAUAACAAUGAGAAAUCAUUGCUAAUACCGUAUAAGCUUACACUAUCGCAUGAUAGAGUAAGAAAAGAUUUAUCGGUUUAGGAGGGGCCCGCGUCUGAUUAGCUAGUUGGAGAGGUAACGGCUCACCAAGGCGACGAUCAGUAGCCGACCUGAGAGGGUGAUCGGCCACAUUGGGACUGAGACACGGACCAAACUCCUACGGGAGGCAGCAGUGGGGAAUAUUGCACAAUGGAGGAAACUCUGAUGCAGCAACGCAGCGUGAAGGAAGAAGGUUUUCGGAUCGUAAACUUCUAUCUACAGGGAAGAAAAAAAUGACGGUACCUGAGUAAGAAGCCCCGGCUAACUACGUG
Molecule: ribosomal RNA, 465 nt
Filed under: uncultured bacterium
Lineage: Bacteria
Description: partial 16S ribosomal RNA
Rfam family: Bacterial small subunit ribosomal RNA
Source: RNAcentral